CCUACGGGAGGCAGCAGUGAGGAAUAUUGGUCAAUGGCCGGAAGGCUGAACCAGCCAUGCCGCGUGAAUGUCAGUGCCCUAUGGGCGUUAAACUUCUUUUGUGCGGGAGCAAUAAUGGUCACGUGUGGCCAGACGAGAGUACCGUACGACUAAGCAUCGGCUAACUCCGUGCCAGCAGCCGCGGUAAUACGGGGGAUGCAAGCGUUAGCCGGGUUUACUGGGUUUAAAGGGUGCGUAGGCUGUGAGGUAAGUCAGCGGUGAAAUGCCCCCGCUCAACGGGGUGAAGUGCCAUUGAUAAUGCCUGGCUGGAAUGCGGAUGCCGUGGGAGGAAUGUGUGGUGUAGCGGUGAAAUGCAUAGAUAUCACACAGAACACCGAUUGCGAAGGCAUCUCACGAAUCCGCGAUUGACGUUGAUGCACGAAAGCGUGGGUAUCAAACAGGAUUAGAUACCCGAGUAGUC
RNAcentral lists this ribosomal RNA (460 nucleotides) under uncultured bacterium. RNAcentral describes it as "partial 16S ribosomal RNA". It matches the Rfam family "Bacterial small subunit ribosomal RNA", at positions 338 to 795 of the family's 1533-position model. The record is from RNAcentral.